RNAcentral lists this ribosomal RNA (497 nucleotides) under uncultured bacterium. Its description in RNAcentral is "partial 16S ribosomal RNA". It matches the Rfam family "Bacterial small subunit ribosomal RNA", at positions 28 to 507 of the family's 1533-position model. The record is from RNAcentral.
GAUGAACGCUGGCGGCGUGCCUAAUACAUGCAAGUCGAGCGAACAGACGAGGAGCUUGCUCCUCUGACGUUAGCGGCGGACGGGUGAGUAACACGUGGAUAACCUACCUAUAUGACUGGGAUAACUUCGGGAAACCGGAGCUAAUACCGGAUAACAUGUUGAACCGCAUGGUUCAACAGUGAAAGACGGUCUUGCUGUCACUUAUAGAUGGAUCCGCGCCGCAUUAGCUAGUUGGUAAGGUAACGGCUUACCAAGGCAACGAUGCGUAGCCGACCUGAGAGGGUGAUCGGCCACACUGGAACUGAGACACGGUCCAGACUCCUACGGGAGGCAGCAGUAGGGAAUCUUCCGCAAUGGGCGAAAGCCUGACGGAGCAAUGCCGCGUGAGUGAAGAAGGUCUUCGGAUCGUAAAACUCUGUUAUUAGGGAAGAACAAAUGUGUAAGUAACUAUGCACGUCUUGACGGUACCUAAUCAGAAAGCCACGGCUAACUACGUG